UUACUGACCACGGGCCCGAGUCUGAGCGACCGCGACACAGUGAACCCACACGUCUCUCUAGAACGUGCUUCCUCAUCUGCUCACUGUCCGUCAGCCUCACGCCAGGCCACUUAGACAUAAGGGCUCCCGCGUCCAACGCUGAAUUUUCAAAAAUAGAAUGAAUCACAAGAAUUUAAUAAAUAAUGGUAUUUGGUGUUAAUUAAUGAAGCUUCAAAAUAGACAAGCGAUUUUGAAGGGAUUACUAAACAUCACGUUUUUAUUUUCUUUUGGAGCCAAACCGGAAAGUACUGCCAGGAGAAACGGCCGCCCUGGGUGUGCUUGGAUGAGGUCUUUCUCCCACUAAUUGUUAGAAAACAGCCGGCAGGUUCCCCAGGGCUGGUGGCCGGGCAGUGCGGCCCUGAGGGCCCCCUCCUUUGCCCGCAGCCCAGGGCCUGGAGGGAGGGGGGCCACCCGCUGAUGUUGAAGCUGGAGGACGGGGCCAGGAGCCAACGACUGCAGCUGCAGAAGCCGGAGAUGGCCAGGGACGUGAUUCCCCGAGUGGCUCCAAGAGAGAGCACAGCCUUGGCCAGCCCUCGAUUUGGGUCCGUGAAACCGACGGCUGACGUCUGCCCUCCGGAGUUGGGCGAGAAUGACUGUGGGCUGUAAUAAGUCACCACGUCUGUGGCCAUGGGUCACAGCAACCAAACAUACAGCAUCCUUGGUUCAUCCCACCGGGAGCCAUCUUUUUCCUUCUCACCUUCAUGUCUCCCUCUCCCCUCAGCAAAGAACCUGCUUGUUUGCUCUCCACAUUGAUUAAGCACUUCCUGUAUGCGGGCACAGCCCCUGCUCCUUCCGAACACGCUGCCGGGCACUUCCAUGCACACGGUCACGUGUAUUCCUCACAGCCCGUGGGGAGACACCAGGGUGCGAUGCCGGGUGGGCACUCGCUCCCCCUGGAAAAGCCUUCGGCGCACCAAGUCUGAGCUGACAUUCAGGUCCCUCAGUGCGCACAAGAGCUGCGAAUGGCGGUCCCGAAGCAGCCUGUGCAUUCUCUAAAGACAUUGUAUGGCAGGUGGAAAAUGCCCGUCAAUGGCUGUGACUUCCUAUGUGAAGCGGGGUCCGGCUUGGGCGCCUGCUGACCACCCCGGGGCCCUUGGACAGUCGGUCUCUGUUUCUGGGGUGCCGCCUCCCUUGUCGACUCUCUUAACCCCGCUCUCACGCCUGUCAACAGUCCCUUUGCCAAAGUCCUUCCAGAAAAUCGUUUGCGCGUGCCAUCUGUUUCCUGCUGGGACCAUGACAGAAGUGAUUUGGAAAGGAGACAAGGAGGGCAGUGGCCCAGUCCAGAGUUCAAUGGAGGAGCACACCAGCAGCGGUCACAUCUGCUCCUCACUGACCUUCACAGCCACCCUGGCAGGAGGCCACUGGCGUCCCACUUCAGGGACAAGGACACUGAGGCUGUCCCGAGGUCACCGGUAGAGUCCAGUGUGGGGCCUGAGUCCCCGAUUCCAAAGCCCCAUACCUCCUCCGCAGGCAAGGGAGAUGCCCGAAAAGAUUCCGAGGUAGGAUGGGGAGAGGGUGCUCCCAGGCCAGCAGGCCUCAGGGCUGGGGCCGAGGGUCUCCGUGGAACAGAUCUCAUCAGUGGCAGCACUGCUUUAGCCAUUCUUGGCGAAACGGGGUUUCCUGAAAAGGGAGAAAGAGGCUGCUGCAAAAGGAAGCAAAUUCAGCAAGACCAGGAGACGCAGGAGGAUGAGAAGAAGGGAGGCCACACUUUGGGAAAUGUGCUUUGCAGGGGCAGCGCCACGUCCAGAAAUUUCUGAGGCUGCACCAUCACCCCAACCUGGGUCUGAAUCCUCAUUCUGCCUCUCGCUGGUGCGUGACCUUGCCAAGUGUCCUCAGCUCUCUGGGUCUCACUACCUGUGGAAGGGGGAUCUCUUACCCAGCACAGUUUCGGGAGCUGGGGGACCACGGUGCAGGGCAGCGGCCGACUCAGGCUCGCGGUCUGGGAGGCGAGGGCAGCUCAGUGUUCUGGAUG
Molecule: long non-coding RNA, 2011 nt
Filed under: Equus caballus (horse)
Lineage: Eukaryota; Metazoa; Chordata; Mammalia; Perissodactyla; Equidae
Description: lncRNA (ENSECAG00000049278.1)
Source: RNAcentral